AUGAGAGAAAAUCGGUUACGGUGGUUUGGACAUGUGCAAAGAAGGCCUACUGACGCUCCGAUUAGAAGAUGCGACUAUGGGACAGAGGUUCAGGGCCGAAGGGGUAGAGGAAGACCUAGGAAAACUUUGGAAGAGACCCUAAGAAAAGACUUAGAGUACUUGGAUCUAACGGAGGACAUGACACAGGACAGAACACAAUGGCGUUCUAAGAUUCAUAUAGCCGAUCCCACUCAGUGACUUGGAUUUUCCAAGUCUCCAACCGAGAAGUUUUUCUUACUCGGGAAAUUAAGGGAACACUACCUCAACCUACAUGCUCCACUCACAAAGCUUCAACAAAAGAAAAUUCAAAGAACUUAGCGAAAAAGGCUUUGGUGUAUUUAACACAAUACGUUGAAAUGAAGGAAAGCUUAUUUAUUGAUAUCCCCGAUAAGUUACAAAUAUGUACAUAUACUUGAGUCAAAAUAAACAAACAAGAGGGAGCCUUCACAAAGGUUGCUUAGGAGAAGUCUCAGCAGUCGGUAGAGCCCCAGAAAGAGAAGGCACCGGAGGGGGAUCAUUCGGAGCCUCGGUACUGGACAGAACCCUAGAAGGAGGAGGCAUCAGAGGUUGAUCAUUUGGAGCUUCAUUACGCGGUACAGCCGCAGAAGACGAAGGCAAUAAAUGCCUUUGGAACAAACCCACAAAUCUCUGAUGAUCAAGUAAAACCUGACCAUCAGAUUCCUUCAUCUGGUCAAGCUUCCUCUUCAUGUUUGUAGCAUAGUCAUGUGCGAGCCGGUGCAACUGUUUAUUCUCAUGCUUGAGCCCUCUAAUCUCCUGUUUGGAGACUCAUCACUUCAGCCGCCAAUGAUUCAACUUGGCGGGUUCGAGCAAAUAGGCGUUGGGCCAUAUUAGACACACAGAACCUGCACACUGAACACUAAGAGCCAGAGAAUCCUUAACAGCCAACUCAUCAGACCGUUUGGAAAGUAGUCUGUUAUCUUUGGGAGUGAAAAGGUUCCUGGCCACUACCGCAGCGGUCAUAUCAUUCUUCAUCACGGAAUCCCCAACGGUAAGAGGACCAGUAGGGGAGACGAAGGAUGGGCGCCAUAUGUUGUCUGGAGAAGGCGGGGCUGCCUCUUCAACAAGGUUCAAGUCAAAACGACGGUCGGAGGGGCCAGACAUUUUCAAAGGUGUUGAAGAGAGAAGAGGUCGGACAAAUCAAGAUCUUAGAAGUGCAAUAAUGGAGCUUCUACUGGUGGAUAUUCAAGUGUGCUUUGGAACUUAAUGUCAGCCCCUAUAAAAAUCUGCACUCGACGAAGCUUCAGAAAUCGAAGAGGCGCCUGCUCAGAAAUCGAAGAGGCGUUUGCUUUCUCAAAAGCUGGGCUGCUCAGAGACCACGAGGGUCGAUCUCAGAAAUCGAAGAGGCGUUUGCUUUCUCAAAAGCUAGGCUGCUCAAAGACCACGAAGGCCGAUCUCAGAAAUCGAAGAGGCUUGCUUUCUCAAAAGCUGGGCUGCUCAGAGACCACGAGGGCCGAUCUCAGAAAUCGAAAAGGCACCUACUUUUCCAGCCUUGUCAGCACCUGUCACACGCACACUCAGCUUUGCGGAAAUUAUGGGCAUUCUGUCGAAGAUUUCUGGCGAAGUAGAAAGCACAUGAAUAGUACUGUUCAAUCACCCACUUCCCACACGCAACAGUAGCUCAUGGGUACCACAUAUAACUUUGCCAAAGUUCUCUGACAAAGUUGAGACACGUGAAGCUUGCAGCUCUCACUACAUCGCUCUGACCAAGAAGGGUAAAAGAAUAGCAAAGAAACAACACUAACAAAGUUUAGACACAUAAAUUUUGAAGGUCUAGUUACCAUAUUAUUACCCACAAGGGUAAAGGAACAGUACCACUGCUGGAUAAUUGGAAAGUCCCGGUGUGUCAACCUCUGUGCUUUGUGGCAAGGUAGACUAGCAAACAUGCCCAACCUUUACUCACAUUCGAGAAAACAUUCCCAACAAGAUUGCUUGCUCCAAAAUCGAAGAGGCACCGCCCUCCGAAUCUCGAGAGCCAGACUCCCAACAUGAUUACUUUUUCAAAAAUCGAAGAGAGGGUAAAGGAACAGUACCACUGCUGGAUAAUUGGAAAGUCCCUGUGUGUCAACCUCUGUGCUUCGUGGCAAGGUAGACUAGCAAACAUGCCCAACCUUUACUCACAUUCGAGAAAACACCCCCAACAAGAUUGCUUGCUCCAAAAUCGAAGAGGCACCGGCCUCCGAAUCUCGAGAGCCAGACUCCUAACAUGAUUACUUUCUCAAAAAUCGAAGAGAGGGUAAAGGAACAGUACCACUGCUGGAUAAUUGGAAAGUCCCUGUGUGUCAACCUCUGUGCUUCGUGGCAAGGUAGACUAGCAAACAUGCCCAACCUUUACUCACAUUCGAGAAAACACUCCCAACAAGAUUGCUGGCUCCAAAAUCGAAGAGGCACCGCCCUCCAAAUCUCAAGAGCCAGACUCCCAACAUGAUUACUUUCUCAAAAAUCGAAGACACCGCUCUCCAAAUCUCGAGAGCCAGACCCCCAGCAGGAUUGCUUUCUCAAAAAUCGAAGAGGCAUCGUUCUCCGAAUCUCGAGAGCCAGAUCCCCGACAGGAUUGCUUGUUCGAAAACCGAAGAGGCACCACUUUCCCAACUUCAAGAGCUGGAUCUCCUUGGAUAAAGCUUGUCUGUAAUCUUCACACGCAACAUCAGCUUUCCAGAUACCACAUACCACUUUUUCAAAGUGCUCUGACAGAGUUAAGCUGGCAGCUCCCACUACCGUGCUAUGACCAAGCAGGGUAAAGGAAUAGCAUUAUUACUUGAUGUUAGGGAGACUCCUAUAUAUGUCGACCUCCAUCCCCAACGGACAGGCAGACCUGCAAAAAUGCUCAACCCUUCCUCUUAUCUGAGAGGGCACUCCCAACGAAGCCUUUCGAAAUAUUCAGCUUUCUUUCCCCCCGAUAAUACCUCUGUAAACAAGCUAUACUAGAGCAAGAAUAUCUCAUAUCAUCAGGGUUAAAAGCAAGAGUAUCCCAUAUCAUGCUUUUUCCCUGUCUUUUCCUUUGGCCUUGUUCUUACCUGCAAGACAAGGAGAAAGAGAGCAAUCAGUCAGCACUUGGAAUCAAGCUUCCAGCCAGGAACUGACUGCCUGGAACCCCUUACCUGAUUACUUACCUGGACAUUGCUCUCGAGUACUCAUCUUCAACAUCUUAUGCUUCCAGGGAAGAUACCGCAUCUGCCUGAGGAACAGAUAGGGCAAGUGAGAAGGAUACAAGGAAGCAUGUGGAGACAAGCGUAACAGCACACGUGCCGAUACAUCCACUACUCUGUCAAAAGCAAAAGUAUCCCAUAUCAGCAGGGUCGAACGUACUCUAGAUUUGAUGGACUUGUUUUGACCCUCAAAUUCUUCAGUCGGCCUUAUACUCUGGAGGAAACCAGAAAACCCUCCAGCCCAGUUCAAGAAUAAGCCUGUGGAAAGUUACUUCUUCAAAAGCAAAAGUAUCCCAUAUCAUCUCUUCUCAUUUUUCUUCUCUUUAUCCUUCAUGCUGCCUGCAAGAUAGGGAGAAUGUGAACAAUCAGCCGGAGCUCUGAUUGCUUACCUUGUCUGUCACCUCUUUCAGCAGAUCCCCUAGCUCGGCGACUUGGGGGACUCCUACUACAUGGUUUGUAUCGCGCUUGACCAAGCCUGAAACUACAAGUAAGCUUCAAGUGAACAUUGAUACAUUACCUUGUGCAUCUCCACCAGUUACAGAUACCACCCCUGGAUGGAGGAAGAGUACUUCCAGAGAAGAUGCCACAUCUACCUAUGAGACAGAUAAGGAAAGUCAAGACGAUACCACACUCCGGUACUUAGAAGUUUCGUGGUUAUGAGAUCAUUCUCCCACAAUAUUUCCUAAUGUCAUUUGUACUAAAUCAUUCACUUGUACUCACUAAAGGAGAGCUUGAACCUAUGUACCUGUGUAAACCCUUCACAAUUAAUGAGAACUCCUCUAUUCCGUGGACGUAGCCAAUCUGGGUGAACCACGUACAUCUUGUGUUUGCUUUCCUAUCUCUAUCCAUUUAUUUACUUAUCAACACUAAUGACCGGAGCAAUCUAGCGAAGAUCACAAAAAGUGACCGUUUUCGCUACCUAGGAUCUAUCUUGCAAGAGAACGGAGAAUUAGAUGGAGAUCUCAACCAUAGAAUACAAGCUGGAUGGAUGAAGUGUAAGAGUGCAUCCGGCGUGUUGUGUGACCGUCGUAGGCCACUGAAGCUCAAGGGAAAAUUUUAUAGGACGGCAAUAAGGCCAGCGAUGUUGUAUGGCACAGAAUGUUGGGCGGUGAAGCAUCAACACGUACACAAAAUGGGUGUAGCGGAGAUGAGGAUGCUUCGUGGGAUGUAUGGGCACACGAGAAAGGAUAAGAUUGGGAAUGAGGAUAUCCGAGGUAAAGUAGGAGUAGCCAAAAUUGAAGGAAAUAUGAGAGAAAAUCGGUUCCGGUGGUUUGGACAUGUGCAAAGAAGGCCUACUGACGCUCCGGUUCGAAAAUGUGACUACGGGACAGAGGUUCAGGGCCGAAGGGAUAGAGGAAGACCUAGGAAAACUUUGGAAGAGACCCUAAGAAAAGACUUGAGUACUUGGAUCUAACGGAGGACAUGACACAAAACCGAGCGCAAUGGCGUUCUAGGAUUCAUAUAGCCGACCCCAUUUAGUGGGAAAAGGCUUUGUUGUUGUUGUUGUUGUUGGUGUGAAAGUCCCGAUUUUGAGAUGAAAGAACCCACCUCCUAGCCAUAUAUGAUCCACAAUUUGAUAGAUUUCUCCUAAUGGCAAGCUUUCCCACACUAGACACUACUCUAAACCACGCCAUAUCUACCAACCCAAUCUACCAAUCACACAACUUUUAUCUAAAUUUAACAUAAAUUUACCUCCCCCAGCCGGAAUGUUAAACCUCAAUCAUAAUCCUGUGUGUCUUCACCCUUCAGUCCUAUGAAUCAAAACCCUUUUCAAAUCUAUAAAAAAAAAUAAAAAAAUAAAUAACAAUCAAAUAAUUAUACAUAUUAUAAUACCUUAAUCCAUUCAUAGUACACACCAGAUUAUGAAUGCAUAAACUUGAUUAAAGAAAGUGAUCAAACAGAUAUAUAACCGUUAAAUCGAAAACAAUUCAAAAUUUUCACCAAAAAAUAGAAGAAAUCAGAAGAAAUGAAAUACCCAGGUUGAAGGUGUCUUCUUCCCCCUUUCCAAACUCUUG
This 5221-nucleotide long non-coding RNA is filed under the name Malus domestica (apple). RNAcentral's name for it is "long non-coding RNA (MDOM_LNC002185)". The record is from RNAcentral. Lineage: Eukaryota; Viridiplantae; Streptophyta; Magnoliopsida; Rosales; Rosaceae.